GACGAACGCUGGCGGCGCGCCUAACACAUGCAAGUCGAACGAGCGAGCGAGAGCUUGCUUUCUCGAGCGAGUGGCGAACGGGUGAGUAACGCGUGAGGAACCUGCCUCAAAGAGGGGGACAACAGUUGGAAACGACUGCUAAUACCGCAUAAGCCCACGACCCGGCAGCGGGUAGAGGGAAAAGGAGCAAUCCGCUUUGAGAUGGCCUCGCGUCCGAUUAGCUAGUUGGUGAGGUAACGGCCCACCAAGGCGACGAGCGGUAGCCGGACUGAGAGGUUGAACCGCCACAUUGGGACUGAGACACGGCCCAGACUCCUACGGGAGGCAGCAGUGGGGAAUAUUGCACAAUGGGGGAAACCCUGAUGCAGCGACGCCGCGUGGAGGAAGAAGGUCUUCGGAUUGUAAACUCCUGUUGUUGAGGAAGAUAAUGACGGUACUCAACAAGGAAGUGACGGCUAACUACGUG
Molecule: ribosomal RNA, 466 nt
Filed under: uncultured bacterium
Lineage: Bacteria
Description: partial 16S ribosomal RNA
Rfam family: Bacterial small subunit ribosomal RNA
Source: RNAcentral